CAAUUUCGAAUACGCAUACCGUAGACAGUAGGUGCCUUUAGGGCUUAAUUUCCUACCGAGGUGUUAUGAUACAGUGUUUGCAACUUUCAUUCGUAUGGAUGAUUAAGCUGACAGACCAUCAUGGCCUUCGCAUUGUCUGCGAAGGCCUUUCUCAUGCAUCA
Paenibacillus curdlanolyticus YK9 is the source of this 161-nucleotide non-coding RNA. NCBI's taxonomy places the organism in Bacteria, Bacillati, Bacillota, Bacilli, Caryophanales, Paenibacillaceae. The record is from Rfam.